RNAcentral lists this unclassified non-coding RNA (208 nucleotides) under uncultured bacterium. Its description in RNAcentral is "contains 16S-23S intergenic spacer region". It matches the Rfam family "Bacterial small subunit ribosomal RNA", at positions 976 to 1199 of the family's 1533-position model. The record is from RNAcentral.
UAGGCUUGACAUGCACAGGAAUGUCGUAGAAAUACGGCAGCCCUUCGGGGCCUGUGCACAGGUGGUGCAUGGCUGUCGUCAGCUCGUGCCGUGAGGUGUUGGGUUAAGUCCCGCAACGAGCGCAACCCUCGUCGCUAGUUGAAUCUCUCUAGCGAGACCGCUGCGCGAAACGCAGAGGAAGGUGGGGAUGACGUCCAGGAACACCAAC